AACGAACGCUGGCGGCAUGCCUAACACAUGCAAGUCGAACGGGAUCCUAGCUUGCUAGGUGAGAGUGGCGGACGGGUGAGUAACACGUGGGAAUCUGCCUUUUGGUUCGGGAUAACCGCGGGAAACUGCGGCUAAUACCGAAUGCCCCUCGAGAGAGGAAAGAUUUAUCGCCAGAAGAGGAGCCCGCGUCCGAUUAGGUAGUUGGUGGGGUAAAGGCCUACCAAGCCGACGAUCGGUAGCUGGUCUGAGAGGAUGAUCAGCCACACUGGGACUGAGAUACGGCCCAGACUCCUACGGGAGGCAGCAGUGGGGAAUAUUGGACAAUGGGGCAACCCUGAUCCAGCAAUGCCGCGUGAGUGAUGAAGGCCUUAGGGUUGUAAAGGCUCUUUUGCCAGGGAAGAUGAUGACUGUACCUGGAGAAUAAGCCCCGGCUAACUUCGUGCCAGCAGCCGCGGUAA
This 458-nucleotide ribosomal RNA is filed under the name uncultured bacterium. RNAcentral's name for it is "bacterial SSU rRNA". It matches the Rfam family "Bacterial small subunit ribosomal RNA", at positions 29 to 523 of the family's 1533-position model. The record is from RNAcentral.